UACGGGGGGGGCAAGCGUUGUUCGGAAUUACUGGGCGUAAAGGGCUUGUAGGUGGCCAACUAAGUCAGACGUGAAAUCCCUCGGCUUAACCGGGGAACUGCGUCUGAUACUGGAUGGCUUGAGUGUGGGAGAGGGAUGCGGAAUUCCAGGUGUAGUGGUGAAAUGCGUAGAGAUCAGGCAGAACACCUGGGGCGAAGGCGGCCGGCUGGGCCGACCCUGACGCUGAGGCGCGAAGGCGUGGGGAGCGAACGGG
This 253-nucleotide ribosomal RNA is filed under the name uncultured bacterium. RNAcentral's name for it is "partial 16S ribosomal RNA". It matches the Rfam family "Bacterial small subunit ribosomal RNA", at positions 524 to 776 of the family's 1533-position model. The record is from RNAcentral.